GUAAUUCCGGUGAAGAUGCCGGAUACCUGCGACAGGACGGAAAGACCCCAUGGAGCUUUACUGUAGCUUGACAUUGGGUCUUGGUACUACAUGUACAGGAUAGGUGGGAGGCUUUGAAACCAGGACGACAGUUUUGGCGGAGCCAUCCUUGGGAUACCACCCUUGUAGUACUGGGACUCUAACCAUAGGCCAUGAAUCUGGUCUUGGGACACUGUCAGGUGGGCAGUUUGCCUGGGGCGGUCGCCUCCCAAAAGGUAACGGAGGCGCUCAAAGGUUCUCUCAGUACGGUCGGAAAUCGUACGUAGAGUGUAAAGGCAAAAGAGAGCUUGAUUGCAAGACAUACAGGUCGAGCAAGGAUGAAAAUCGGACUUAGUGAUCCGGUGG
RNAcentral lists this ribosomal RNA (384 nucleotides) under Clostridioides difficile. Its description in RNAcentral is "bacterial LSU rRNA". It matches the Rfam family "Bacterial large subunit ribosomal RNA", at positions 2044 to 2426 of the family's 2925-position model. Lineage: Bacteria; Bacillati; Bacillota; Clostridia; Peptostreptococcales; Peptostreptococcaceae. The record is from RNAcentral.